GUGGUGGGGGGGGAGGGGACUAAAGAAAUCGUUCCUCUAUUUAUUAUACACCAAACAGGAAUCUGGGCUCACUGACAAAAUUUGUGCCUUUCCUAUCAAAAUACCCUCUAGGU
Molecule: small nucleolar RNA, 113 nt
Organism: Sorex fumeus (smoky shrew)
Lineage: Eukaryota; Metazoa; Chordata; Mammalia; Eulipotyphla; Soricidae
Product: small nucleolar RNA SNORA11
Exons: 1
Source: RefSeq, a predicted model, not a curated record